Molecule: long non-coding RNA, 1348 nt
Organism: Hibiscus syriacus
Lineage: Eukaryota; Viridiplantae; Streptophyta; Magnoliopsida; Malvales; Malvaceae
Exons: 6
Source: RefSeq, a predicted model, not a curated record
UGAAGUUAUCUUUCCUAAAAUCUCUCUUCCUUCUCUUCUUCUCUUCUUCUCUUCAUCUCUAUUUCUAUUUUCUUCUAUCCUUGUUCUUCUAUUCUCUUGGGUUCAUAACUGUAGACUGUGAAGUCUAAGGCAAAUCAAUCGAAAUCGAAUUCAUAACAGUAGGCUAUCAAAAAAUUGAAACUGAAAUUCAUUUUGAAUCUCCCCUGAAUUUCGGUCUUGGAGAAAUAGGGUUUAUUCUCAACAAAGGUACUUGAAAAGCGGAGUGAAUGACCGAGGAAGGGUUGCAAGUGAUGUUGAAACAGAGCAAAUUGUCCUUGAUGAAGAAGCUGGGUCUUGCAAGGGAAAGAUGAGUUCUGUUGUGCAGAUGCGUGGUUCAAUUUCCCUUUUCUGGUCCCAAGAAGCUUCAUGAUUUAGUCCUAAGCCUGAUAUAAUCAUACAGAGGUAUGAUCCUACAUACCAGGCAACCAAAUUGCAUUUUGAGGACUUGCCAAAUAGAUACGGAAAUCCAAUAAUUAUACUUCAUUUAAUCAAGACUGUUGAGAAAAGACCUAGAGAGAUGAUGUUGAUGCGUGAAUUUGCCCAUGCAGUUGGGUAUGUGAACGCAAUUCUACCAGAAGAGAAUCAACUGAAAUUUAUUCAUUGGGAUUUUCACAAGUUUGCGAAGAGGGAAGUUCUUACUUUUUCUCAUGAAACAGACAACCUUUGGCUUCCUCCCCUCACCUUCUCCAAUUGAGCUUAUAUGUGUAUGUUCUUGUGUGUUCUUUGCUGAUCUCAAGCAAGUCUGCCAAUGUUUUGGCUGUUUUGGGUGCUGCGGCUAGUGAAGCUCUUGAUUUGACUGGUUUUUACAAUAGUGGUAAACCCAGGACUGUUAAGAGGAGAGCCAACCAACUUAAUAGAACAAGCACUGGGAGAUUUUUGGGCUACUACCAAUCAAAGGAAGGAAAUCCUGCUCUUUGGAAGUUGGAUUCAGAUUAUUAUCUUCAUGUUUCCGGGACAGGAGAUGACCUAUUCCCUGAUAAGUGUGUGGAGGGUAGUGUUAAGCCUUUAGUACUGGGAAAGAUCCUUGCUCCCAUUCCUGCUUGUAGAGAAGACUUUUCACGGAUGAAGUUGACGUCAUUUGAUAAAUUGAUAGAACGGACAUGGAGUUUAAUAAUGUGAGACUGUAUAGCGAACCAGAUCAAAGACCUGGUGGUUCUACAGCAAAUUCUGGCGUGGCACCUGAUGCAGCGUAAAUAUCAUUUUGUCUCUGCUAUCAAUAUAUUUUGAUAUUCUGUUUGUAGCUUCUUUGAGCUUGUCUGUUUCUCUUAUCUUUUGUUGAAUAGAGACACUCUUCCCCUUCCAGGUAAUA